GACGAACGCUGGCGGCGUGCUUAACACAUGCAAGUCGAACGGAAAGGCCCUGCUCUUGCGGGGUGCUCGAGUGGCGAACGGGUGAGUAACACGUGAGUAACCCGCCCCUGACUUUGGGAUAACAUCAGGAAACUGGGGCUAAUAUCGGAUAGGAGCUCUUGCUGCACGGUGGGGGUUGGAAAGUUUCGGCGGUUGGGGAUAGACUCGCGGCUUAUCAGCUUGUUUGUGGAGUAGUGGCUUACCAAGGCUUUGACGGCUAGCCGGCAUGAGAGGGGGGCCGGCGUCAUGGGGACUGAGAUACGGACCAGACUCGUAUGGUAGGCAGCGGUCGGGAGUAUUGCAGAAUAGGCGGAAGCCAGAUGCAGCAGCGCCGCGUGCGGAAUAACGGCCUUCGAGUUGUGAGCAACUUUCGCCUGUGACGAGGCGUGAGUGACGGUAAUGAGUAAGGAAGCACCGGCUAACUACGUG
Molecule: ribosomal RNA, 468 nt
Filed under: uncultured bacterium
Lineage: Bacteria
Description: partial 16S ribosomal RNA
Rfam family: Bacterial small subunit ribosomal RNA
Source: RNAcentral